Molecule: ribosomal RNA, 483 nt
Filed under: uncultured bacterium
Lineage: Bacteria
Description: partial 16S ribosomal RNA
Rfam family: Bacterial small subunit ribosomal RNA
Source: RNAcentral
GACGAACGCUGGCGGCGUGCUUAACACAUGCAAGUCGAACGAUGAAGCCCAGCUUGCUGGGUGGAUUAGUGGCGAACGGGUGAGUAACACGUGAGUAACCUGCCCCUGACUCUGGGAUAAGCGUUGGAAACGACGUCUAAUACUGGAUAUGACUACUGGUCGCAUGGCCUGGCGGUGGAAAGAUUUUUUGGUUGGGGAUGGACUCGCGGCCUAUCAGCUUGUCGGUGAGGUAAUGGCUCACCAAGGCGACGACGGGUAGCCGGCCUGAGAGGGUGACCGGCCACACUGGGACUGAGACACGGCCCAGACUCCUACGGGAGGCAGCAGUGGGGAAUAUUGCACAAUGGGCGAAAGCCUGAUGCAGCAACGCCGCGUGAGGGAUGACGGCCUUCAGGUUGUAAACCUCUUUUAGUAGGGAAGAAGCGAAAGUGACGGUACCUGCAGAAAAAGCACCGGCUAACUACGUGCCAGCAGCCGCAGUAA